RNAcentral lists this ribosomal RNA (505 nucleotides) under uncultured bacterium. Its description in RNAcentral is "partial 16S ribosomal RNA". It matches the Rfam family "Bacterial small subunit ribosomal RNA", at positions 29 to 523 of the family's 1533-position model. The record is from RNAcentral.
GUGAACGCUGGCGGUAGGCCUAACACAUGCAAGUCGAACGGCAGCACAGAGGAGCUUGCUCCUUGGGUGGCGAGUGGCGGACGGGUGAGGAAUACAUCGGAAUCUACUCUUUCGUGUGGGAUAACGUAGGGAAACUUACGCUAAUACCGCAUACGACCUUCGGGUGAAAGCAGGGCAUCGCCAGACCUUGCGCGAUUGAAUGAGCCGAUGUCGGAUUAGCUAGUUGGCGGGGUAAAGGCCCACCAAGGCGACGAUCCGUAGCUGGUCUGAGAGGAUGAUCAGCCACACUGGAACUGAGACACGGUCCAGACUCCUACGGGAGGCAGCAGUGGGGAAUAUUGGACAAUGGGCGCAAGCCUGAUCCAGCCAUACCGCGUGGGUGAAGAAGGCCUUCGGGUUGUAAAGCCCUUUUGUUGGGAAAGAAAAGCACACGGUUAAUACCCGAGUGUUCUGACGGUACCCAAAGAAUAAGCACCGGCUAACUUCGUGCCAGCAGCCGCGGUAA